Molecule: unclassified non-coding RNA, 259 nt
Filed under: Hevea brasiliensis (rubber tree)
Lineage: Eukaryota; Viridiplantae; Streptophyta; Magnoliopsida; Malpighiales; Euphorbiaceae
Source: RNAcentral
GCCAUGAACAGCAUUCUUAAUUUCCACAAACGCACAACCAAAUCAUGGACCAAGAAAAAAACAUCAGUUCCUUACAGAUCUCCACUCUUUGUUUUACUCGUCUCUGUCUUCACAGUCUUCUUUUUUCUUGUGCUUUUCACUUACUAUUCUAAAACCUCCAAUUCUCUUUUGCAUAAAACCAUAAAUCCCCAAAUCACUCAAUGUAGCAGAUUCCAAGCCCUGUCCGGAGGAGAGAAGUUCCUCUGGUACGCACCACACG